Transfer RNA from Corynebacterium argentoratense DSM 44202, 87 nucleotides. It matches the Rfam family "tRNA". Rfam says of the family: Transfer RNA (tRNA) molecules are approximately 80 nucleotides in length. The record is from Rfam. NCBI's taxonomy places the organism in Bacteria, Bacillati, Actinomycetota, Actinomycetes, Mycobacteriales, Corynebacteriaceae.
GGAGAUGUGGCAGAGCGGCCGAAUGCACUCGCCUUGAAAGCGAGCGUCCCGUGAAACGGACCAGGGGUUCAAAUCCCUUCAUCUCCG